Molecule: ribosomal RNA, 1525 nt
Filed under: Epilithonimonas vandammei
Lineage: Bacteria; Pseudomonadati; Bacteroidota; Flavobacteriia; Flavobacteriales; Weeksellaceae
Description: bacterial SSU rRNA
Rfam family: Bacterial small subunit ribosomal RNA
Source: RNAcentral
ACAAUGGAGAGUUUGAUCCUGGCUCAGGAUGAACGCUAGCGGGAGGCCUAACACAUGCAAGCCGAGCGGUAUUUGUUCUUCGGAACAGAGAGAGCGGCGCACGGGUGCGGAACACGUGUGCAACCUGCCUUUAUCUGGGGGAUAGCCUUUCGAAAGGAAGAUUAAUACCCCAUAAUAUAUUGAGUGGCAUCAUUUGAUAUUGAAAACUCCGGUGGAUAGAGAUGGGCACGCGCAAGAUUAGAUAGUUGGUGAGGUAACGGCUCACCAAGUCAAUGAUCUUUAGGGGGCCUGAGAGGGUGAUCCCCCACACUGGUACUGAGACACGGACCAGACUCCUACGGGAGGCAGCAGUGAGGAAUAUUGGACAAUGGGUUAGCGCCUGAUCCAGCCAUCCCGCGUGAAGGACGACGGCCCUAUGGGUUGUAAACUUCUUUUGUAUAGGGAUAAACCUACUCUCGUGAGAGUAGCUGAAGGUACUAUACGAAUAAGCACCGGCUAACUCCGUGCCAGCAGCCGCGGUAAUACGGAGGGUGCAAGCGUUAUCCGGAUUUAUUGGGUUUAAAGGGUCCGUAGGCGGAUCUGUAAGUCAGUGGUGAAAUCUCACAGCUUAACUGUGAAACUGCCAUUGAUACUGCAGGUCUUGAGUAAAUUUGAAGUGGCUGGAAUAAGUAGUGUAGCGGUGAAAUGCAUAGAUAUUACUUAGAACACCAAUUGCGAAGGCAGGUCACUAAGAUUUAACUGACGCUGAUGGACGAAAGCGUGGGGAGCGAACAGGAUUAGAUACCCUGGUAGUCCACGCCGUAAACGAUGCUAACUCGUUUUUGGGGUUUCGGCUUCAGAGACUAAGCGAAAGUGAUAAGUUAGCCACCUGGGGAGUACGUUCGCAAGAAUGAAACUCAAAGGAAUUGACGGGGGCCCGCACAAGCGGUGGAUUAUGUGGUUUAAUUCGAUGAUACGCGAGGAACCUUACCAAGACUUAAAUGGGAAAUGACAGAUUUAGAAAUAGAUCCUUCUUCGGACAUUUUUCAAGGUGCUGCAUGGUUGUCGUCAGCUCGUGCCGUGAGGUGUUAGGUUAAGUCCUGCAACGAGCGCAACCCCUGUCACUAGUUGCUAGCAUUAAGUUGAGGACUCUAGUGAGACUGCCUACGCAAGUAGAGAGGAAGGUGGGGAUGACGUCAAAUCAUCACGGCCCUUACGUCUUGGGCCACACACGUAAUACAAUGGCCGGUACAGAGGGCAGCUACACAGCGAUGUGAUGCAAAUCUCGAAAGCCGGUCUCAGUUCGGAUUGGAGUCUGCAACUCGACUCUAUGAAGCUGGAAUCGCUAGUAAUCGCGCAUCAGCCAUGGCGCGGUGAAUACGUUCCCGGGCCUUGUACACACCGCCCGUCAAGCCAUGGAAGUCUGGGGUACCUGAAGUCGGUGACCGUAAAAGGAGCUGCCUAGGGUAAAACAGGUAACUAGGGCUAAGUCGUAACAAGGUAGCCGUACCGGAAGGUGCGGCUGGAACAUCUCAUUUUAGAGACA